CCUACGGGAGGCAGCAGUGAGGAAUAUUGGUCAAUGGGCGAGAGCCUGAACCAGCCAAGUCGCGUGAGGGAUGACGGUCCUAUGGAUUGUAAACCUCUUUUGUCGGGGAACAAAGGCGUCCACGUGUGGACUGAUGAGUGUACCCGAAGAAAAAGCAUCGGCUAACUACGUGCCAGCAGCCGCGGUAAUACGUGGGGGCAAGCGUUAUCCGGAUUUACUGGGUGUAAAGGGAGCGUAGACGGCAGCACAAGUCUGGAGUGAAAUGCCGGGGCUUAACCCCGGAACUGCUUUGGAAACUGUGCAGCUAGAGUGCAGGAGAGGUAAGUGGAAUUCCUAGUGUAGCGGUGAAAUGCGUAGAUAUUAGGAGGAACACCAGUGGCGAAGGCGGCUUACUGGACUGUAACUGACGUUGAGGCUCGAAAGCGUGGGGAGCAAACAGGAUUAGAUACCCGGGUAGUC
RNAcentral lists this ribosomal RNA (459 nucleotides) under uncultured bacterium. RNAcentral's name for it is "partial 16S ribosomal RNA". It matches the Rfam family "Bacterial small subunit ribosomal RNA", at positions 338 to 795 of the family's 1533-position model. The record is from RNAcentral.